Molecule: ribosomal RNA, 121 nt
Filed under: Hafnia alvei
Lineage: Bacteria; Pseudomonadati; Pseudomonadota; Gammaproteobacteria; Enterobacterales; Hafniaceae
Source: RNAcentral
UGUCUGGCGGCAACAGCGCGGUGGUCCCACCUGACCCCAUGCCGAACUCAGAAGUGAAACGCCGUAGCGCCGAUGGUAGUGUGGGGUCUCCCCAUGCGAGAGUAGGGAACUGCCAGACUUU